Xyrichtys novacula (pearly razorfish) is the source of this 4381-nucleotide non-coding RNA. NCBI's taxonomy places the organism in Eukaryota, Metazoa, Chordata, Actinopteri, Labriformes, Labridae. The record is from the annotation of a GenBank genome assembly.
GGGUUAAGUUGAUACAUGCAUUUGGGGACCUUUUUUGGGAGCUUUGCUGUACCUGUACCGUCUGAGCUGGUAUGGCUUUCAAUGGUACACACUCAUGUUUAUGAGGUAGGCCAUAGUGCUGAUGGUCUUGCCUAAGGACCCCCACGGGUAGAUGUACUUUGCUUCUUACAGAUGUGUCUCAUGCAGGAUUGAAACCCCAACCACCCGGAUGCUCUACCCGCUGAGCUACCCCAGCCGCCCAAUACAUACUGAGGUAGCUACUCCAAUGUAUAUUACAUAUCAUUAGGCUUUGAAACCACGCAGAGUCAAUCGAACCCAACGUUCUGACCCAAUUACUGGGUUACUCUCAGAAAAAUAACCCAUAAUUAUUAACCCAUUCAAAUGACCCUCAAAUUGGGUUACAAUAGAACCCAUAUGACCCAAGAAAUGGGGAUGGAUCUGAAAAAUAAUCCAGAAAUUUAACUCAACACAUAUAACCCAGGAAUUGGGUUAAAGAAAUAACCCAAGAGUUUUUAGAGUGUGCUAAGAAGAGGGGUCAUGUAGUAUGUUACACUUGACAAGAAAAGUCAUAAUUUAUUGCAUGUGAGGUUAAAAUAUUCCUGCACAAGUUAAGAAAAGUCAUGUGUUAUUCAGAUCAUAUAUUAAAAAAAAUGUUAAACCGCACAUGAUUUGAAAAGUCAUGUUUUUUUUAUUCAUAGAUCUGUAACUUUUCUGUUUUUUAGGUUGAUUUGUCUGUGUUUAAGCAGUGUAACAGAUUGAAGCUUUUAUCUGAAACUGAUUACUUUUUUAAAAUUAUUUUUUGCUUGAUUUCCUGUCUCUGAAUGUACUUUUCUAUCCUUGUUAUGUGCCUCUGAUGCGUGCUAAUCUGAUGAAGAUAAGGGAGAUUAAUCUCAUUAUGAGGGCAGCGGUUCUUCGCUCUGAAAGAAGUCAAUGUUGAAGUCUUGUUAUAAAUACAGGUCCUGUCACUUGCGAUAAAAUUUAUAGUUAAUAUCCCUAUACUGCCUCUGAGGGAGCUCCUAUCAAGUAUUACUGCUUUUUGUACAACCAUCACACUUUUAUUGCUGUUUAUGGCCACUAGAGGCCAGUAAUGCAUCAACAAUUAAACAGAAGCUUCAAGUUGCUUUUCUUCCACCUAAAUAGUUGAAAUUGCAGUAUUUUUGCACUAAUAUAAGUUUUUAUUGUGGGUUUGACUUUUUUAGAGAUUGACAGCAUGCACUGAAAUCCCUCUCUGCUUUGCUAACAGCUUUUCUUAGCCAGAAAAUGAGAAGAAAACUGAAGAGAUGAGGUCAUUUUUCAUUGCUGUUCUGCUCUGUUAUACUCUAUCACCAUGUCUAGAUUAACAGCUGGCUUUGAGAUUGGUGACACUUGAAGAAUACGGAGGUGGAGGAGCGAGCUGAAGGUGAAAAAACCACCGGCAACAAUGAGUGGAGCAACGGCACAAACAGCUGGAAUAACAACAACGGCAGGAACACUAACAGCAGGAGGUUUGACGUUUGGGGGGGUGAGGAGUCUAUGUUUGAACCGGUGCCUUUGAAACAUAAAUAACUGCAAUUUCUUUGUAUAAUCAAGCCUCUAUGCAUCUGCUGCAGCUGUAGCGCUUGAAGAUUAAACAUGAAUUAUGUUUGUCUGUUUCCCACAUUCGCUGAAUCGAAUUUCAAAGCACCUCCAUCAUCUGAUGUGUGUUUUGACGCUUGUGUCUGCAGGUAGGCAAAGAGAGACACGGGGGGAUAAUGUGGUGCAGAGAAGCAGGACGGAUAAAAGCUGCAGAUAAAGUACAUGCUAACAUUUGCUUGCACUUGCCCCAAGUAGCAGAUGGCUGAAAUUUGCCUUGUAGGACAAAACUGUAAAUGCCACUGAGGUCAGACAGCCACACUAAGUUCAUAAAAGUCAAGUUAGCAUAUUCACUGGAGGCCGUCUGUGUUUUUCUCAUGCUUAUUUCCAACCACUUUAAAUACUGAGCAUAUAUGAUGAGUCAAUAAUUAAAUAGCUCUACAUCUGGACUGAGUUAAUUAACAUUUGAUGCAUUUUUCUGCGUGGUAAAGAUUUGAAAUAAAACCUCCAGUUAGAUCUCUUUCAGUGCGCCAAGAAACAACUAAACUGAGUAAAACUUUCACUUUAAAGAACUUCAGGCUUUUACUUUGACAACAUGAAAAGAGCUUUUCGAAUGAAACAUAUGGUUUUAAAUCCUGCAAUACGAUUUUAUAAUCAAAGGUCCCUUGAUAUCUGUUUUGACUGUGUGCUUAUCCACCCUAAUUAGUGUUUAUGAAGUUAUAUGAUUUAAUUACACGUGAAGAGAAACACAUGUUACCAUAUAGUCAUUAAAGACAAAAAUAUAUGUUCUCUUCCCAUCAUCAGAUUGUAGCUCACAUCCUUUAAGAAGACGCCAGUGUUUCAGUUUAACGACUGACCCUAAGACUUUUAUUUGUUGUCAUGGUAACAAGCCCACUAGUCAAAGACGUUAUUGUUACAAAAGAUAGUCAGCUAUAAAAUAAAUAAAAUAAAAUAAAAACAGUUUGUCUUUGUAAAUAUUUCCUUAUUCACAUUGUGUUCAUGAAUCAUGAAUAACACUGUAAAGAAGAGUUGCUGAAUGCAAAAGUUAGCUGAGCUAUGUUGGUCACCGGCUGUCAGUAACCUUUAUUUAUAUAGCACGAGGCCAUAAAUGUCAACAGUUUGUCAACAUUUGUAUGACUCAUGACCUGGAACACAACAGUAAGAUGUGAUAACUAUAUUUGAACCUCCCAUUAUGAGUGUAAUGUCAAAAGUCCAUCAAUCAAACUUGUUAAAGAGUUUUGAUCAACCAGAAUCAAGUAUUUAACACAGACAGAUAUGAGGAAAUAUAGUCUAAGUGUCCAAUUUCAUGUUAUAUGUUUUGUAUGCAUUAAUCUUUUUCUUUUACUGUAACUGUAAAAAUGAGUUUUGAAUAGUAAAUACUUUGUUUAAACACCUCAUUGUGGUUUUUUUUGGCAUGCAAUAGGCAGAAAUGCGCAAAAAAACAAUAAGAUGCUUAAAAACAGAACAAAUAAAUAAUGAUAAAAAACAAAUACAAUAGAGCCUUAUGAAAUAAUAGCACCAGAUUCUUUUAACUCAACAAUAUUUUUAUGGAUUAAUACAGUACAUCUCUUGAAAGGGCACUAGAUACAAAGGAAACACAACACAAAACCUCCCUCAGAACCCUGUCUACUGCUGGAUAUUCCUACUACUUUGCUUUAAUAACAAAUUCUGGAGCUAAAAAAUAAAAUGAAAAUAAAAAAACAAGUGCUGGAAUUUGGGUUUUGUAGAUCUUAAAAUAUAUAGGAUGAAAUAAAAAGUAAAAAGAAUGAGUUAAAUGAACUACUGUAGGUGAAGAGAAAUGCAUAUGUGGACAAAAUAAGAAUUUGAAUCACAGAGAUAUAUUUCAAAAAGAAUAAAACUAGAAGAAAUUCUAAUUGAUGCUUUUUUUAUGAUGAACAGAAGCAAACAAGCUUAAGUAUUACUUUUUGAUCCCUGACUCCGGUGGUGAAGGGUAGGUGUCAGCUGAGCAACUGAAAAUCGCCUGUUGUAAAAUUUUAUGGGUUAAAUACUCACAAUGACUGAUACACAUCAUUGUACUACUUGUAUGCAAAGGAAAAGAACUUUGUCCACAGGGGGGCGCCAAUUUUGACACAAACAGAAAGUUCCUUACUUCAGCUUUAACUCAAAUUACAAACAGUUGUUUCUAAACGGCUGAAACGUCAGCAAUAUGUUCCCAUUAUGCAGAAAACAUCCGUUACCAUGCUUCUGCUUCACAUACAGAGAAUGGAUGAUUGAGUCUUUCUAUACACUCAUGGUUUUAAAAGCAUAAUCCCUGAAUGAAAAAAAAGAAGAAACAGAAGAGAGCUCUUGUGAUUUAUGAGCUCCGGAUCAUUAUUUCUAAAUAGCUCUGUACCUUUAAUGAGAACAGAACAAAUUCCAUCCGCAUGACAAGCAAACAGAUAGAAAUCCAGUAAGUGGUCCUUGAGAGUGGGAUUUGAAAGGACUUGUUUGUGUGAUAUCAUUGACUAUGAUUAUAGGAUGUUUAACAUUUAUUAACCUUCUGCACAAUAGUAAAAAAAACAACACCGAGGAUAAUAUAAUAUCAUAUAAUCAAGUAAUAAGAAGGUCAUUUGGCUUCAUUAAAAGGUUGACAACAAUUUGAGUUGCAGUAUUAAAGCUGUGAGCGGUAUGCAGAGACUCUGAACCGUUUAAACCAGAUAAUCAACCUUUAUGGCGCUACAAAACGUACCAAUCGUCUAGACGGUAUUUACAUUUAAAGUGAGAUUAAUUAUUUGUGUUUGCAGGGCAUCACGUUUCAAAUGGCUAAUUGAGAAGAACAUUAGCCCAGGAAUAAAACAGCAGGUAUACGACGACUAAAGAGAAGUGGAAA